AGUGGCGGACGGGUGAGUAACACGUAAGAAUUUACCUUUAGGAGGGGGACAACAACUGGAAACGGUUGCUAAUACCCUAUAUGCUUUCGAGUGAAAUGGAAUUUCUGCCUAAAGAGAAGCUUGCGGCUGAUUAGCUUGUUGGUGAGGUAAUGGCUCACCAAGGCGACGAUCAGUAUCUGGUUUGAGAGGACGAUCAGACACACUGGAACUGAGACACGGUCCAGACUCCUACGGGAGGCAGCAGUGGGGAAUUUUCCGCAAUGGGCGAAAGCCUGACGGAGCAAUACCGCGUGAAGGAUGACGGCCUAUGGGUUGUAAACUUCUUUUUUCAGGGAGGAAUCAAUGACGUGUACCUGAAGAAUAAGCAUCGGCUAACUCCGUGCCAGCAGCCGCGGUAAGACGGAGGAUGCAAGUGUUAUCCGGAAUCACUGGGCGUAAAGCGUCUGUAGGUGGUCUUGUAAGUCAACUGUUAAAUCUUGAGGCUCAACCUCAAAAUCGCAGUCGAAACUAUUAGACUAGAGUAUAGUAGGGGUAAAGGGAAUUUCCAGUGGAGCGGUGAAAUGCGUAGAGAUUGGAAAGAACACCGAUGGCGAAGGCACUUUACUGGGCUAUUACUAACACUGAGAGACGAAAGCUAGGGUAGCAAAUGGGAUUAGAUACCCCAGUAGUCCUAGCCGUAAACAAUGGAUACUAGAUGUUG
This 700-nucleotide ribosomal RNA is filed under the name uncultured cyanobacterium. Its description in RNAcentral is "bacterial SSU rRNA". It matches the Rfam family "Bacterial small subunit ribosomal RNA", at positions 94 to 825 of the family's 1533-position model. Lineage: Bacteria; Bacillati; Cyanobacteriota. The record is from RNAcentral.